AUUACCGCGGCUGCUGGCACGGAGUUAGCCGGGGCUUCUUCCUCGAGUCCUGUCAUGAUCGCGCACUCGACGAAAGAGCUUUACAAGCGGCAUUGCCCUUCUUCACUCACGCGAUAUUGCUGGAUCGGGCUUUCGCCCAUUGUCCAAUAUUCCCCACUGCUGCCUCCCGUAGGAGUCUGGACCGUGUCUCAGUUCCAGUGUGGCUGGUCAUCCUCUCAGACCAGCUAGGGAUCGUCGCCUAGGUGAGCCAUUACCCCACCUACUAGCUAAUCCCAUCUGGGCACAUCCGACAGCGUGAGGCCCGAAGGUCCCCCACUUUGCUCUUUCGAGGUUAUGCGGUAUUAGCUACCGUUUCCAGUAGUUAUCCCCCUCUGUCGGGCAGUUUCCCAGACAUUACUCACCCGUCCGCCACUCGUCACCCAAGGAGCAAGCUCCUCUGUGCUACCGUUCGACUUGCAUGUGUUAGGCCUGCCGCCAGCGUUCAAUCUGAGCCAGGAUCAAACUCU
This 506-nucleotide ribosomal RNA is filed under the name uncultured endophytic bacterium. Its description in RNAcentral is "partial 16S ribosomal RNA". The record is from RNAcentral.